Molecule: long non-coding RNA, 237 nt
Filed under: Lathyrus oleraceus (garden pea)
Lineage: Eukaryota; Viridiplantae; Streptophyta; Magnoliopsida; Fabales; Fabaceae
Description: Pisum sativum (pea) long non-coding RNA (PSAT_LNC018824)
Source: RNAcentral
UCAAAUCAUCUUCAUCAAUACUUAAUUAUAUUCUUCUUUGUCACAUUAAUCCUCUACCACACUCAAGCUCUACAAAAUCAAAAUCAUGUCUGUGUUGACUAUGGGUGAUGAACACAGAGGCACACUCAAGAAUAUCUAGGCAUUUGUAUGUUAUCUCUCUCUUUUUACUUUUUCUGUUUUUAGUCUUAUACCUUUGUUAUCUAUGUUUUUCUUACUUCUUAUAGAGUUGUGUUUGUG